This is a long non-coding RNA of Hippocampus comes (tiger tail seahorse), 349 nucleotides long. RefSeq lists it as uncharacterized. The transcript has 3 exons. The record is from RefSeq and is a predicted model, not a curated record. NCBI's taxonomy places the organism in Eukaryota, Metazoa, Chordata, Actinopteri, Syngnathiformes, Syngnathidae.
GUGGGGACGGGAGUGCAGGUGUUGUCUGUGUCACAUCAAGGCAUCAAGCUACUCAAGUUGGUGAGGAGCAGCUCCACCGCUCCAGACUACUUCAGGGUACUGAGGCCUUACAGCUACUCGGACAUCCUGUUCGUGUCCGUGCCAUCGAAAAGCAUGUUGGAGUUCAAUCUCGUCAAUGAGAAGCUGAUCCUGUUUUCCGCCAGGGCCCAGCAGGUCAAGAGCAUGAUUGACUACUUCCUCACAGAGAUUAAAAAGGAUUCAGAGUAUGUGGUGGCGGUGAGGAACUGCAUCAAUGAGAACAGGACGCUUCUCAGUUUCCAUAAAGGAGACAUUAUCAGACUACAACACA